AUUGAACGCUGGCGGAAUGCUUUACACAUGCAAGUCGAACGGCAGCACGGACUUCGGUCUGGUGGCGAGUGGCGAACGGGUGAGUAAUGUAUCGGAACGUGCCCAGUCGUGGGGGAUAACGUAGUGAAAAUUACGCUAAUACCGCAUACGAUCUAUGGAUGAAAGCGGGGGAUCGCAAGACCUCGCGCGAUUGGAGCGGCCGAUAUCAGAUUAGGUAGUUGGUGGGGUAAAGGCCCACCAAGCCAACGAUCUGUAGCUGGUCUGAGAGGACGACCAGCCACACUGGAAAUGGGACACGGGCCAGACUCCUACGGGAGGCAGCAGUGGGGAAUUUUGGACAAUGGGCGAAAGCCUGAUCCAGCCAUUCCGCGUGCAGGAUGAAGGCCCUCGGGUUGUAAACUGCUUUUGUACAGAACGAAAAGGUUUCUACUAAUACUAGGAGCUCAUGACGGUACUGUAAGAAUAAGCACCGGCUAACUACGUGCCAGCCGCCGCAGUAA
This 500-nucleotide ribosomal RNA is filed under the name uncultured bacterium. RNAcentral describes it as "partial 16S ribosomal RNA". It matches the Rfam family "Bacterial small subunit ribosomal RNA", at positions 30 to 523 of the family's 1533-position model. The record is from RNAcentral.